UACGAAGGGGGCUAGCGUUGCUCGGAAUCACUGGGCGUAAAGCGCACGUAGGCGGACUCUUAAGUCGGUGGUGAAAUCCUGGAGCUCAACUCCGGAACUGCCUUUGAUACUGGCGACCUUGAGUCCGGGAGAGGUGAGUGGAACUGCGAGUGUAGAGGUGAAAUUCGUAGAUAUUCGCAAGAACACCAGUGGCGAAGGCGGCUCACUGGCCCGGUACUGACGCUGAGGUGCGAAAGCGUGGGGAGCAAACAGG
This 253-nucleotide ribosomal RNA is filed under the name uncultured bacterium. Its description in RNAcentral is "partial 16S ribosomal RNA". It matches the Rfam family "Bacterial small subunit ribosomal RNA", at positions 524 to 776 of the family's 1533-position model. The record is from RNAcentral.